GACGAACGCUGGCGGCGUGCUUAACACAUGCAAGUCGAACGGAAAGGCCCUGCUUUUGUGGGGUGCUCGAGUGGCGAACGGGUGAGUAACACGUGAGUAACCUGCCCUUGACUUUGGGAUAACUUCAGGAAACUGGGGCUAAUACCUGAUAGGAGCUCCUGCUGCAUGGUGGGGGUUGGAAAGUUUCGGCGGUUGGGGAUGGACUCGCGGCUUAUCAGCUUGUUGGUGGGGUAGUGGCUUACCAAGGCUUUGACGGAUAGCCGGCCUGAGAGGGUGACCGGCCACAUUGGGACUGAGAUACGGCCCAGACUCCUACGGGAGGCAGCAGUGGGGAAUAUGGCACAAUGGGCGGAAGCCUGAUGCAGCAACGCCGCGUGCGGGAUGACGGCCUUCGGGUUGUAAACCGCUUUCGCCUGUGACGAAGCGUGAGUGACGGUAAUGGGUAAAGAAGCACCGGCUAACUACGUG
RNAcentral lists this ribosomal RNA (468 nucleotides) under uncultured bacterium. RNAcentral describes it as "partial 16S ribosomal RNA". It matches the Rfam family "Bacterial small subunit ribosomal RNA", at positions 28 to 507 of the family's 1533-position model. The record is from RNAcentral.